GCGCACAUGGCGGAAUUGGUAGACGCGCUAGCUUCAGGUGCUAGUGAGCUUAUGCUCGUGAAGGUUCAAGUCCUUUUGUGCGUACCA
This 87-nucleotide transfer RNA is filed under the name TM7 phylum sp. oral taxon 356. RNAcentral describes it as "tRNA-Leu". It matches the Rfam family "tRNA". Rfam says of the family: Transfer RNA (tRNA) molecules are approximately 80 nucleotides in length. Their secondary structure includes four short double-helical elements and three loops (D, anti-codon, and T loops). RNAcentral also lists the same sequence under 3 other names. The record is from RNAcentral. Lineage: Bacteria; Candidatus Saccharimonadota.